ACGGGAAGACCGGAGAGGAGCUGCGUCUCUGCCCCGUGGGAGCCGGCGGGGCGGCGGGGCGGCGGCUGCAGCUGCAGCUCCGGCGCGAGGGCUCCCUUGCCGGGCCCUCUUCCCCGACCCCUGGGGCGCUCCGACAAGGAAGAGCCGUCCAGCGCGCGUCCGUCCUGAGCGUGGAGGAGUUGGUGAACAGCAGGAUGGAUGGGAUGUCAGUCAGCUGUGCCCCUGGCUACCCCUGUGCUUGAACAGUGGACUGUGAGUGGCGGCGUCAUGCAGAAGGAGCACAGGGUCCCAGGCCAGCAUCACUAUCCAGGAGCUUCAGGCAUGCUCCGUGUACCAACAUGGGAUCACGAAUCACAUCGCCUCAGGCCAAGAAAGCCAUUUUAUAGCGAAAGAGCCUUAGGAUCUGCUGGAUUAGAGCCUGUUUCCCAGGUAGGAACGCUUCCACGAGGGCACUCCUGCUGGUUGCAGGAAGGAUACCUCUGCUGAGCCUGAAUCUGCAAAGACCACCAGGUUACUCUCAGCUCCUCAUACUGGUGGACCAGCAGGCCACAAAGGAGGGGAUACUUGAUCCUGAUAAACGGUGAGGAGGUAGCGUGGCUGCUGCGUAACGGGGCAAGCAGGCAUUGAUCUGGCACUUAGAGGAUUCAUCUAGGUCUGUCUUGGUGCUUCCAUGCCAAGUAAUGACAAUGAAAAGGUCUUUUCAGCAGCCAUAGCCCCUAAGGGCUCAGAUGCCUCAGGGUGAAGGUCUGGGCAGCGUCACCAGGCAAGCCAUGGAGACAAGCUGGAAUGCUGGUGAGGGUGAGGCCAAGGAGGAGGUGGCUGCUGAAUAUCUGUUACUUGGGAGAAGCUGUGGCAGUGGGGAUUGUAUUUGUUCUGCUAAGCCUCUUGUAUUAAGGCUUUCAUAGGAGUUGUAACUAGCCUUUACUUUGAAGAAUCGUGACAGAGUAGACUCAAUAUUGUAGCUGACUAGAUCUGAGAGGGGCAGGAGAUGGUGUCUUGGCUGAUGCCCUCAGCCCACCUUUAACUGCAGUGGACACAGAGCUGCAUCUCUGCUGUGUGUCUUUGCACUUCCUGCUCCAGGCCUUCUCUGACACCAUGGCGGCCCCCUGAGCCUGUGCCGAGAUUGUGCCACUGCACUCCAGCCUGAGCAACAGAGCUAAACUCCAUCUCAAAAAAAAAAAAAAAAAAAAAAAAAAAAGGCGAGGGGAAUACAUACAGGAAUGGACUGUGAGGAUACAAAGCCAAGAAUGAAUUGUAGGUUAGUGCAAAUUUAUCAACAUGAGUGCACUUCAAAGAGAAUCUUUGAUUCCGUAUUUUGGCUCAAGGCCUGGGAGUAGUUAUGACCGUGCCUGGGUGGCUGAAUGAAGCCUGGACUCCUUGGUGGUUUACAUUGAUGGGAAGAUGAGAAUGUGGAGUGGAUUUGUGAUGUAUGUGACAUGACCUGGCUGCCACUCUCCUCUCUCUAUCCCUUCAUUAGACCAUUGUGUAAUUUAAAAAAAUAGGUUAUAAAUUUCUUUUCAAGAUAGUAAAGGGGUACGAUCAACAACCCAUGGAACGGGAGAAAGUAUUUGCAAAUCAUGUAUCUGAUAAGGAGUUAAUAUCCAAAAUGUAUAAGGAACUUACAAAACUCAAUAGCAAAACACCAAAUAACCCAAUUUAAAAUGUGUAAAGGACCUGAAUAGACAUUUCUCCAAAGAAGACAUGCAAAUGACCAACAGGUAUAUGAAAGGGGCCCAACAUCACUAAUCAGGGAGAUGCAAACACCACAACGAGAUAUGACAACAACGCGAUCCACCUCACACCUCUUAGUUUGGCUACUAUAUAAAAAAAAAAAACAAAGGCAAGAGAUAACAAAUAUUGGCGAGGAUGUGGAGAAAAGAGAACCCUUGUAUACUGUUGGUGAAAAGGUAGAUUGGUACAACCAUUAUGGAAUACAGUAAAAAAUUAAAACAGAACUACCAUGCAAUCCAGCAAUCCCACUUCUGGAUGUAUAUCCAGAGGAAAUGAAAUCAAUAUCUUGGAGGAUAUCAGUACCAGCUUAUUCAUUGCAGCAUUAUUCACAAUAGCCAAGUUAGGAAGCAACCUGAGUGUGCGUCGGCAGGUGAAUGGAUAAAGGCCAGGUGUAGGUGCUGGCUAGGGAUUCUAAAAUUAUGGGAAAACUGGAAAAUUGAUAUUAGGGCACCAUCUGCCCCUUUGGCCAUGCCCUCUCUACUUCCUGUAUACAAAACUCACUCACCUUAUCCUUAAGGGAGACCACUGUAAAAGUUCUAACUAGUUGCAGCAUCCAGCUCAAAAUUUAGGUUCUCUGACUUAUAUGCAAUUUGCUCCUUCAGGUCCAGAGGUAGAUCCUUGUGGUCCAGUGACUUAUAAAAGGUUUGUCAUUCAUCCUCCAACAAACUCAGUGUACACUAGUUUAAUCCAAUGUCGUAUAAACUAAAACAUAUUUUAUGUGUCCCAAACAUACAAAGAAAGAUUAAGGGCCGGGCGCAGUGGCUCAUGCCUAUAAUCCCUGCACUUUGGGAGGCUGAGGUGGGCGGAUCACCUGAGGUUGGGAGUUAGACACCAGCCUGGCCCACAUGGAGAAACCUCGUCUCUACUAAAAAUACAAAAUUAGCCAGCGUGGUGGCGCAUGCCUGUAAUCCCAGCUACUCGGGAGGCUGAGGCAGGAGAAUCGCUUGAACCCAGCGGGCGGAGGUUUCAGUGAGCUGAGAUCGCGCCAUUGCACUCCAGCCUGGGCAAAAAGAGUGAAACUCCGUCUCAAACAAAACAAAACAAAACAAAAGAGUAAGAAUUGGGUAAAUACUACAAAGACCCCAUAUUUAGACCCGAUCUCUAGUCUGUGGCACUUGCCAAAUCCUAUUGAGCAUAAAUAGUGAAGUCCCCUUUCCUGGCAGCGCCGGCUCAGUUUUCUGGAAUGUUUCUCCUUGUCUGUUAGACUUCGUGUCCACAUCUAGGAGGACACUGGAGAGGAACCUUCUUGGAGGCUGCGUAGUUUCUUCUAUGGGAUCAAAUGCCUCCUGGCUUUUGUAGGGAUUACUUUAGGAGCUGAAUUGUCAGAGGGUUUGACAAACUAGAUUGUAGUUUCUUUGGUGAUACGAUUUCUCCACAUUUUCAGUAGUGACAUUCUAG
This 3129-nucleotide long non-coding RNA is filed under the name Homo sapiens (human). RNAcentral describes it as "non-protein coding CHKB-DT:45". The record is from RNAcentral. Lineage: Eukaryota; Metazoa; Chordata; Mammalia; Primates; Hominidae.